UACGUAGGGGGCUAGCGUUGUCCGGAAUUAUUGGGCGUAAAGAGCUCGUAGGCGGUUUGUCGCGUCUGCUGUGAAAACCUGAGGCUCAACCUCGGGCUUGCAGUGGGUACGGGCAGACUAGAGUGCGGUAGGGGUGACUGGAAUUCCUGGUGUAGCGGUGGAAUGCGCAGAUAUCAGGAGGAACACCGAUGGCGAAGGCAGGUCACUGGGCCGCAACUGACGCUGAGGAGCGAAAGCAUGGGGAGCGAACAGG
Molecule: ribosomal RNA, 253 nt
Filed under: uncultured bacterium
Lineage: Bacteria
Description: partial 16S ribosomal RNA
Rfam family: Bacterial small subunit ribosomal RNA
Source: RNAcentral